AUACGGAGGAUGCAAGCGUUAUCCGGAUUUAUUGGGCUUAAAGGGUGCGUAGGCGGUUUGCUAAGCGGGAGGUGAAAUGCCGGCGCUCAACGUCGGAAGUGCCUCCCGAACUGGUGGACUUGAAUGACUCUGCCGUGGGAGGAAUGUGUAGUGUAGCGGUGAAAUGCUUAGAGAUUACACAGAACACCGAUUGCGAAGGCAUCUCACGAAGGGUUGAUUGACGCUGAGGCACGAAAGCGUGGGGAUCAAACAGGAUUAGAUACCCUGGUAGUCCACGCAGUAAACGAUGAUGGCUAACCGCUGGGCUUAUCAGUUCAGUGGCCAAGCGAAAGCGAUAAGCCAUCCACCUGGGGAGUACGACCGCAAGGUUGAAACUCAAAUGAAUUGGCGGGG
Molecule: ribosomal RNA, 393 nt
Filed under: uncultured bacterium
Lineage: Bacteria
Description: partial 16S ribosomal RNA
Rfam family: Bacterial small subunit ribosomal RNA
Source: RNAcentral